GAUGAACGCUAGCGGGAGGCCUAACACAUGCAAGCCGAGCGGUAUUUGUUCUUCGGAACAGAGAGAGCGGCGCACGGGUGCGGAACACGUGUGCAACCUGCCUUUAUCUGGGGGAUAGCCUUUCGAAAGGAAGAUUAAUACCCCAUAAUAUAUUGAGUGGCAUCACUUGAUAUUGAAAACUCCGGUGGAUAGAGAUGGGCACGCGCAAGAUUAGAUAGUUGGUGAGGUAACGGCUCACCAAGUCAAUGAUCUUUAGGGGGCCUGAGGGGGUGAUCCCCCACACUGGUACUGAGACACGGACCAGACUCCUACGGGAGGCAGCAGUGAGGAAUAUUGGACAAUGGGUUAGCGCCUGAUCCAGCCAUCCCGCGUGAAGGACGACGGCCCUAUGGGUUGUAAACUUCUUUUGUAUAGGGAUAAGCCUACUCUCGUGAGAGUAGCUGAAGGUACUAUACGAAUAAGCACCGGCUAACUCCGUG
This 479-nucleotide ribosomal RNA is filed under the name uncultured bacterium. Its description in RNAcentral is "partial 16S ribosomal RNA". It matches the Rfam family "Bacterial small subunit ribosomal RNA", at positions 28 to 507 of the family's 1533-position model. The record is from RNAcentral.